GAUGAACGCUGACAGAAUGCUUAACACAUGCAAGUCGACUGGGGGGACGGGUGCGUAACGCGUACAGAACUUCCUCUCAGGUAGGGACAACAUUUGGAAACGAAUGCUAAACCUAAUCCUGUGAGAGAGCUUUGCGUCCCAUUAGCUAGUUGGAGGGGUAACGGCUCACCAAGGCGAUGAUGGGUAGCCGGCCUGAGAGGGUGAUCGGCCACAAGGGGACUGAGACACGGCCCUUACUCCUACGGGAGGCAGCAGUAGGGAAUCUUCGGCAAUGGGGGGAAGCCUGACCGAGCAACGCCGCGGGAGUGAAGAAGGUUUUCGGAUCGUAAAGCUCUGUUGUUAAGGAAGCGGUACCUAAACAGAAAGGGACGGCUAACUACGUGCCAGCAGCCGCGGUAAUAC
This 402-nucleotide ribosomal RNA is filed under the name uncultured bacterium. RNAcentral describes it as "partial 16S ribosomal RNA". It matches the Rfam family "Bacterial small subunit ribosomal RNA", at positions 28 to 526 of the family's 1533-position model. The record is from RNAcentral.